Molecule: ribosomal RNA, 253 nt
Filed under: uncultured bacterium
Lineage: Bacteria
Description: partial 16S ribosomal RNA
Rfam family: Bacterial small subunit ribosomal RNA
Source: RNAcentral
UACGUAGGGCGCGAGCGUUGUCCGGAAUUAUUGGGCGUAAAGGGCUUGUAGGUGGCUGGUUGCGUCUGUCGUGAAAGCUCAUGGCUUAACUGUGGGUUUGCGGUGGGUACGGGCUGGCUUGAGUGCAGUAGGGGAGGCUGGAAUUCCUGGUGUAGCGGUGGAAUGCGCAGAUAUCAGGAGGAAUACCGGUGGCGAAGGCGGGUCUCUGGGCUGUUACUGACGCUGAGGAGCGAAAGCGUGGGGAGCGAACAGG